CCCUUAGAUGUUCUGGGCCGCACGCGCGCUACACUGACGAAGUCAGCGAGCAUGUCCUACGCCGACAGGUGCGGGGAAUCUUGUCAAACUUCGUCGUGAUGGGGAUUGAUUAUUGAAAUUCUUGAUCAUCCACGAGGAAUUCCUAGUAAGCGCAAGUCAGCAGCUUGCGUUGAUUACGUCCCUGCCCUUUGUACACACCGCCCGUCGCUACUACCGAUUGAAUGGUUUAGUGAGAUCUUCGGAUUGGCGCCACUGCGGCUCAGCAAUGGGCUCGGUGGAUGCCGAAAAGUUGAUCAAACUUGAUCAUUUAGAGGAAGUAAAAGUCGUAACA
Molecule: ribosomal RNA, 331 nt
Filed under: uncultured eukaryote
Lineage: Eukaryota
Description: partial 18S ribosomal RNA
Rfam family: Eukaryotic small subunit ribosomal RNA
Source: RNAcentral